Molecule: transfer RNA, 68 nt
Filed under: Psittiparus gularis (Grey-headed parrotbill)
Lineage: Eukaryota; Metazoa; Chordata; Aves; Passeriformes; Sylviidae
Description: tRNA-Phe
Rfam family: tRNA
About the family: Transfer RNA (tRNA) molecules are approximately 80 nucleotides in length. Their secondary structure includes four short double-helical elements and three loops (D, anti-codon, and T loops).
Source: RNAcentral
GUCCUCGUAGCUUAUGGAAAGCAUGACACUGAAGAUGUCAAGAUGGUUGCUACAUGCACCCAAGGACA